Molecule: ribosomal RNA, 253 nt
Filed under: uncultured bacterium
Lineage: Bacteria
Description: partial 16S ribosomal RNA
Rfam family: Bacterial small subunit ribosomal RNA
Source: RNAcentral
UACGGAAUGUGCAAACGUUAUUCGGAAUCACUGGGCUUAAAGAGUCCGUAGGCGGCUUGUUAGGUGAGGUGUGAAAUCCCCGGGCUUAACCUGGGAACUGCGCUUGUUACUGGCAGGCUGGAGUGUGGCAGAGGGGGGUGGAAUUCCACGUGUAGCAGUGAAAUGCGUAGAGAUGUGGAGGAACACCGAUGGCGAAGGCAGCCCCCUGGGCUAACACUGACGCUCAUGCACGAAGGCGUGGGGAGCAAACAGG